This 267-nucleotide long non-coding RNA is filed under the name Gossypium raimondii (Peruvian cotton). RNAcentral describes it as "long non-coding RNA (GRAI_LNC008521)". Lineage: Eukaryota; Viridiplantae; Streptophyta; Magnoliopsida; Malvales; Malvaceae. The record is from RNAcentral.
CCAUCAUUACUCUUUCGUUUCGUCGACCGUACCAAUGGCGAUCAAUCAUUUCUCCUGUCUCCCCGUCCUCAUUACACGCACCUUCGUACACCUUUCUCCUUUACCGCUGUUCGACUACCAUUACUUUCCACCAUCGAAUCCUCGUCACACUACCUAGAAACCACCAUUUUUGACCUCUUCCCCACCCUAAGCCAUCGUCCCUCACAGUCAUUUCCUUCCUCACCCCUCUUAACCGACCACUAUUCCCAACCCAUCACACAUAUCCAC